This 381-nucleotide ribosomal RNA is filed under the name Triticum aestivum (bread wheat). RNAcentral describes it as "partial small subunit ribosomal RNA". The record is from RNAcentral. Lineage: Eukaryota; Viridiplantae; Streptophyta; Magnoliopsida; Poales; Poaceae.
AUGAUAUACGUAAUAACUCGGACAUCUAUUUCAAAUGCAUAUCCCAUUUUUGCGCAGCAGGGUUAUGAAAACCCACGAGAAGCAACUGGACGAAUUGUAUGUGCCAAUUGCCAUUUAGCUAGCAAGCCCGUCGAUACUGAAGUUCCCCAAGCUGUGCUUCCCGAUACUGUAUUUGAAGCAGUUCUUCGAAUUCCUUAUGAUAUGCAAUUGAAACAAGUUCUUGCUAAUGGAAAAAAGGGAGGGUUGAAUGUAGGUGCUGUUCUUAUUUUGCCCGAGGGAUUCGAAUUAGCGCCGCCCGAUCGUAUUUCCCCUGAGUUAAAAGAAAAGAUAGGAAAUCUUGCUUUUCAGAGUUAUCGUCCCGAUAAAAAAACAUUCUUGUGA